GGUAAACGCUGGCGGCGUGCCUAAAACAUGCAAGUCGAACGAGACCUUCGGGUCUAGUGGCAGACGGCUGAGUAACGCGUGGGUGACGUACCUGUUGGUGGGGCGAUAACUGCCCGAAAGGGUGGCUAAUUCCGCAUAAGUCCUCGUCUUCAGUGACGAGGGGAAAGCUUCGCAAGAGGCGCCGAUGGAGCGGCCCGCGUCCGAUUAGCUGGUUGGUGGGGUAACGGCCUACCAAGGCGACGAUCGGUAGCUGGUCUCAGAGGAUGAUCAGCCAGACUGGGACUGAGACACGGCCCAGACUCCUACGGGAGGCAGCAGUUAGGAAUUUUGGGCAAUGGGCGCAAGCCUGACCCAGCAACGCCGCGUGGGUGACGAAGGCCUCGGUUGUAAG
RNAcentral lists this ribosomal RNA (391 nucleotides) under uncultured bacterium. Its description in RNAcentral is "bacterial SSU rRNA". It matches the Rfam family "Bacterial small subunit ribosomal RNA", at positions 28 to 429 of the family's 1533-position model. The record is from RNAcentral.